RNAcentral lists this ribosomal RNA (433 nucleotides) under uncultured bacterium. RNAcentral describes it as "partial 16S ribosomal RNA". It matches the Rfam family "Bacterial small subunit ribosomal RNA", at positions 29 to 507 of the family's 1533-position model. The record is from RNAcentral.
AACGAACGCUGGCGGCAUGCCUAACACAUGCAAGUCGAACGAGACCUUCGGGUCUAGUGGCGCACGGGUGCGUAACGCGUGGGAACCUGCCCUUAGGUUCGGAAUAACUCCCCGAAAGGGGUGCUAAUACCGGAUAAUGUCUUCGGACCAAAGAUUUAUCGCCUUUGGAUGGGCCCGCGUUGGAUUAGCUAGUUGGUAGGGUAAAAGCCUACCAAGGCGACGAUCCAUAGCUGGUCUGAGAGGAUGAUCAGCCAAACUGGGACUGAGACACGGCCCAGACGCCUACGGGAGGCAGCAGUGGGGAAUGUUGGACAAUGGGCGAAAGCCUGAUCCAGCAAUGCCGCGUGAGUGAUGAAGGCCUUAGGGUGGUAAAGCUCUCUUACCCGGGAUGAUAAUGAUAGUACCGGGAGAAUAAGCCCCGGCUAACUCCGUG